Ylistrum balloti is the source of this 1299-nucleotide long non-coding RNA. RefSeq lists it as uncharacterized. The record is from RefSeq and is a predicted model, not a curated record. NCBI's taxonomy places the organism in Eukaryota, Metazoa, Mollusca, Bivalvia, Pectinida, Pectinidae. The transcript is spliced from 3 exons.
GUUGACUUUUUAUGUUUAUCAUAACAGGGGUGCAUAUAAUACAGAUAUUUGAAACUUGCAGCAGUCAGGCGGUAUAACAAUACUCAUUCCUGAUGACUGGUUUAAGACUGACAUUGGUCACCAUCCUGUUAUAGAUGGUCCGGAACCCAUACAGCCCACCAUGUCCACAACGAAUGAUCUUGGUCUGGCCAUAGGUGUCCUGAAUGCUUAGGCUUUGGGUACAGACUUGACUGUCCUCAGGUCGGGUGAUCAUGAUAUCGAUGGCAUGGAUGGACAGACCUUGUGUAUAACCAGACUUGAGCACACAGCGACAGGUGCGAGGCCCAGGGACAAUAGGUGAAGGAUAAUCCAAGUUAGACAAAUUUGGUGCCGUAGACUACUUCACGGGUAGAACUAUUGGAGAUUGAGAUGCUUCUUGGAGAUACUGAACCUGGGUUGUUACUGUCUUCAGGGACAAAGACUUUGUGCAGGAGGGAGUAGUGUAGAAGUGGUUUUCAUUUCUCCUUCCUUAUUACAAUAAACUGGAAAAUGUCUCGCAUUAAGUGAUAGGGAACAAAACAAAAGAAGAAAAGAGAAAGGAUUUGUUUUUCUUCUAAAGACUGUGUCAUUUUGAGACUGGAUCUCUUUGUAGUAUAUGGUGGCUAAUUCAUAGAAUAUCAUUUUGGAGGUCCACAUCAGAGCAAUCCAACCUCUCCAACACAUAACGGCCUGCCAUCUCAGCAUCUUGGGAAACACAAACCUGCCAUGAAAACAGGCAGUACAUACACAUUACAGUUCUUUACCUCUGUGUGAAUUGCCAGGUAGUUUAAUGCUCUUCCCCAGAGUAUCUGUUUGAGAAAUAGUUGUGGCACAUUUGAAACAUUGUACAAAUCUUAUUUUAAGCAAUAUGGUCAAAAGCGUUUGAACAAUAUCCCAGAAGAGAGACAUAUUAGAGAUGUUUUACUGUAUGAUGGGGUCUGUAUCCCUACAGCUCAAUAUUUCAAACACAUAUAAAUGCAGACAUGUUGUUGUUUGUGAAUAAUCAUUACUGGCCCUGAAUAUGAACUAAAACCAUAAUUUUCAAGACGAAAUCAUCAAAGUCAGAAUCAAUUUCAUAUAAACUGCUGGUCAUAUAGCAUACAGCAGGUUUAUAGGUGUUUUCAGGGAUGAAAUUGAUCACCCAUGUAAUGGUCUUACAUUACACACCCAAAGUUUGGCAUUCACUACAAAACUACUAGUAUGUAUGAAAUGUGAAGUCCCUCUCAUAAAGCACUAAAACUGAGGCCAAUAACUAAAACAAAUAAAUAUUUAAUAUCCUCA